RNAcentral lists this ribosomal RNA (214 nucleotides) under uncultured bacterium. RNAcentral's name for it is "partial 16S ribosomal RNA". It matches the Rfam family "Bacterial small subunit ribosomal RNA", at positions 524 to 737 of the family's 1533-position model. The record is from RNAcentral.
UGCGGAGGGUGCAAGCGUUGUCCGGAUUUAUUGGGUUUAAAGGGUGCGUAGGCGGCUGUUUAAGUCAGCGGUGAAAGUUUUGGGCUCAACCCAGAAAUUGCCAUUGAUACUGGACAGCUUGAGUAUUGGAGGGGUACAUGGAAUUGAUGGUGUAGCGGUGAAAUGCAUAGAUACCAUCAGGAACACCGAUAGCGAAGGCAUUGUACUGGCCAAU